UCAGCUAUGGCGAUUUGACUCCGACAGGAGUUUAUGGUAAGCUAGUUGGUUCGAUGUGCGCACUCAUCGGGGUUCUAACGCUUGCAUUACCAGUUCCAAUCAUUGUGAGCAUU
Anisakis simplex (herring worm) is the source of this 113-nucleotide non-coding RNA. The record is from Rfam. NCBI's taxonomy places the organism in Eukaryota, Metazoa, Nematoda, Chromadorea, Rhabditida, Anisakidae.